Molecule: ribosomal RNA, 304 nt
Filed under: uncultured bacterium
Lineage: Bacteria
Description: partial 16S ribosomal RNA
Rfam family: Bacterial small subunit ribosomal RNA
Source: RNAcentral
CAGCAGUCGCCGCGGGAAUACAGAGGGUGCGAGCGUUAAUCGGAUUUACUGGGCGUAAAGCGUGCGUAGGCGGCUUCUUAAGUCGGAUGUGAAAUCCCUGAGCUUAACUUAGGAAUUGCAUUCGAUACUGGGAAGCUAGAGUAUGGGAGAGGAUGGUAGAAUUCCAGGUGUAGCGGUGAAAUGCGUAGAGAUCUGGAGGAAUACCGAUGGCGAAGGCAGCCAUCUGGCCUAAUACUGACGCUGAGGUACGAAAGCAUGGGGAGCAAACAGGAUUAGAUACCCCAGUAGUCCCUGUCUCUUAUAA